Long non-coding RNA from Ornithorhynchus anatinus (platypus), 2197 nucleotides. RefSeq lists it as uncharacterized. The transcript is spliced from 4 exons. NCBI's taxonomy places the organism in Eukaryota, Metazoa, Chordata, Mammalia, Monotremata, Ornithorhynchidae. The record is from RefSeq and is a predicted model, not a curated record.
GAUGUUAUCUGGUAGCAAAAACCCUAUUCCCAGUUUACAAAAGGAGAGAUGGAGACACAGAAAGAGUACCAUCAAUCCCUGAGAGAGCAAUUGACACAAUAGUUCAAAGCCUUUGGACUCCAAUUGAUGACAUCACUAUGUUCCUGGAGGAGGGCUCCAAAACUUUACAUUUCUCAUACACAUCAUCAUCUUUUCCCUCCUUUCAGCAUCCAAGUCAAUCUACUAAAGCACCUAUCUACUGAAAAGAGUUCAACGGCCUUGAACAAGGAUCAAUUUCAGCCAUCCUAUAUUGAAGGCUACUAAACAAAGAUAUGGAAUGAAGACCACGAUCAAAAUCAAAGUUCUACAUAAGCCCUCUAGUGAAGGAUGGAAGAUUGGUCUGACCAGCUAGGACCAGAUCACACUCUAUCUAACCAGGAUCAUGCCAUCUUAAUUCCCUGGGUGUCGGUUUCUCUCUCAGGAGGUAGAAAUAGAUGUUAGUGUGACACGCUAACCUGCCAAAGUCACACUGCAAUCGGUGUCUACCUUAUCAACUGCAAUGAUAUACACCUAGAAGUAUUUCUACCACCUUGAACUCUUACUUGGGAUAGCCAGGGUAUCAUUAGCCUAGGAUGAGUACAUGGUCCAGGAGUUUAAACACUAUAAACAAUUAGUUCCUUGGGGUGUUCCUUCUUAGAUAUAAUGAAUUUAACAAAAUGUGAACUUGUCCAAGCAGGAUUCUGUGCUUUCUUUUUUUUUUUUCCAAUAGCACUUACCCAUCUGUACUUCUGUUACAUUGCUAUUCCCACUCGAAAUACUGUGAAACCUUUCAAAUAAAAUAUUUAACGUGUAGAUCUGGUAAUUUUAUGUUGUGAGUUAUGAAGCCUUUACUUAGGUCCCACCUUUUAUUAAACCUUAGGGUUCUUUUGCUGUCUCUAAUGACAUUACAUUGCAUCAGAAUUAGACAGAUUUUUACAGGGAGCUGUAUUAUUUGUUGUGACUUGGUAAUGCUAAUGUUUAAAUUUUGAGUCUUUUUACUGCUGAUUAAACCUCUAAAGACUACAGCAGAAUUUCCGCUUCAUUGGUAGAAGAGAAGAAAACAGCACAGUUUGUACCAAGGAGAUCACUUGAAGAAUGUGCGUAAGGUUGCUGCAUUUAUGAAUAAAGCAAAGCAUUAUCAUUUUUAAUAGGAAUUAAACAGCUAGAGGGAGAAGUAGGGCAAUGCUGUGAUCAGAGCAAAGGAAAACAAUCUAACAAUUUUAAUUAACUGUAUUUUAAUAGCUUUAGUUAUAAUUGAAUAAUUUAAAUACCAGGGGAAACAGUUAAAUCUCCUAAAAGCCUUCUUUUUAUUUACAUUUUAAAUACAGUUCACGGUGAAGAGAUGACAGUGCAAAGGCUGGGAAGAAAUAAGGUUUACAUUUUAAACUUCUGGGCCAAUAGGAAGUAUUCGGGGGAUUUAGGUCUCUGUUGUACAGAAUGUUAGCACUUAUUGCUCCCACCCCCCAGCCUCCUAGAGACCGGAGCAGCUUUCUGGGGCUCAUCCUUGUGGACGUCACCAAGCAUACACGUCAAGAAGAGGAAAAUGUAGUGAGAGGACCACCUAAUCUUUUCAUAUGGGAGCAAUAGGAUAUCAAAAGAGUAUUACCACAGGCAACAGAUUGCAGGAAUAAUUCUGUAUCCUGCUCAAAAGCACAGUCAAGUGUGGGAGAUGAACUGAGACAAAAAAGAUGACCCUCUAAAGCAGAAUGAUCGUAACAUUGGACAAUCUGUACCAGUAAUUUCCACUUGUGAUUCACACUUUCCUUCAUCCAAGAAUAAAGCUAUGCUCUAUUGGUCUGGAAAUUAGGGGUUUAGCACACUGGGAUAAAGUGUGUAUGAAAUGUCUGCCAAUUUUUAAAAAAAUUAAUCUCUGAAAACUCCAAAAAGUUGAAGUCUGCAACAGUAAAGGUUGGAGUUGGAUAUGUUUCAUCAAACUCUGUAGAUUAUAAACACCUUGAGGACAGAGAUUAGAUCAACACAUCUAUUGCACUCUUCCAAAUUGAGUACAAUGUAGGCUCCCAAUAAAUACUGUUGGCAGAUUGAUUUGCUUUCUGUAUCUGAAACUUGUGACUGAAUAAUUAAGACACUUGAAUAUUGAAAUGUCUGAAAACUGGACCUUGAACUCUGAAAGAAAAAUCUGUCCCAAAAUGCCUGCUGACUCUCCACUGAAAAAUAAAGG